ACAGUCACUGACAUUAGAUACCCCCGUAGUCCAGGGUGUAAACGCUGCAGACUUGGUGUUGGGGCCCUUUGGGGCAUUCAGUGCCGGAGAGAAGUUGUUAAGUCUGCUACUUGGGGAGUACGUCCGCAAGGAUGAAACUUAAAGGAAUUGGCGGGGGAGCACCGCAACGGGAGGAGCGUGCGGUUUAAUUGGAUUCAACACCGUAAACUCACCAGGGAAGACUGUUACAUGAAGGCCGAGAUGAAGACUCUGCUAGAUUUUCAG
RNAcentral lists this ribosomal RNA (264 nucleotides) under uncultured archaeon. Its description in RNAcentral is "partial 16S ribosomal RNA". It matches the Rfam family "Archaeal small subunit ribosomal RNA", at positions 716 to 982 of the family's 1478-position model. The record is from RNAcentral.